UGGGGAAUUUUGGACAAUGGGCGAAAGCCUGAUCCAGCAAUGCCGCGUGUGUGAAGAAGGCCUUCGGGUUGUAAAGCACUUUUGUCCGGAAAGAAAUCCUUGGCUCUAAUACAGUCGGGGGAUGACGGUACCGGAAGAAUAAGCACCGGCUAACUACGUGCCAGCAGCCGCGGUAAUACGUAGGGUGCAAGCGUUAAUCGGAAUUACUGGGCGUAAAGCGUGCGCAGGCGGUUUGCUAAGACCGAUGUGAAAUCCCCGGGCUCAACCUGGGAACUGCAUUGGUGACUGGCAGGCUAGAGUAUGGCAGAGGGGGGUAGAAUUCCACGUGUAGCAGUGAAAUGCGUAGAGAUGUGGAGGAAUACCGAUGGCGAAGGCAGCCCCCUGGGCCAAUACUGACGCUCAUGCACGAAAGCGUGGGGAGCAAAACAGGAUUAGAUACCCUGGUAGUCCACGCCCUAAAACGAUGUCAACUAGUUGUUGGGGAUUCAUUUUCCUUAGUAACGUAGCUAACGCGUGAAGUUGACCGCCUGGGGAGUACGGUCGCAAGAUUAAAACUCAAAUGAAUUGACGGGGUCAUAGCUGUUUCCU
Molecule: ribosomal RNA, 588 nt
Filed under: uncultured bacterium
Lineage: Bacteria
Description: partial 16S ribosomal RNA
Rfam family: Bacterial small subunit ribosomal RNA
Source: RNAcentral